GGAGGUGUAGCUCAGUAGUAGAGCACUUGCCUAGCCCACGCAGGGUCUUGGGUUUGAGCCCCGGCACCACCA
RNAcentral lists this transfer RNA (72 nucleotides) under Ictidomys tridecemlineatus (thirteen-lined ground squirrel). Its description in RNAcentral is "Spermophilus tridecemlineatus (thirteen-lined ground squirrel) tRNA". It matches the Rfam family "tRNA". From Rfam's summary of the family: Transfer RNA (tRNA) molecules are approximately 80 nucleotides in length. Their secondary structure includes four short double-helical elements and three loops (D, anti-codon, and T loops). Lineage: Eukaryota; Metazoa; Chordata; Mammalia; Rodentia; Sciuridae. The record is from Rfam by way of RNAcentral.